Bos taurus (domestic cattle) is the source of this 1416-nucleotide long non-coding RNA. The record is from Ensembl. Lineage: Eukaryota; Metazoa; Chordata; Mammalia; Artiodactyla; Bovidae.
CGGCCUUCUUCCAGGGCUCCGGCUCGGCCCGCUGCUCGCGCCUGCGCGCAGGCCACGGAUCCGCCUCCGCGCGCGCCCUGCCCCCCACACGCCCUCGCUCGAACACACACUUCGCCUCUGUGACCCCGCCCCUCACCGGCCAGCUGCGCUGGGGGCCCUCCCCCACCUCGCCUGGGAGGGUGGUGACCCCCGACCCCCCACAAAGCACAACACCCCCCAAACAGUGGGGAGAAGCGCCCCGGUCCCCUUCAACCGCCCUCUGCCCCAGUCAGCCCGUCACAGUCACACAACCUGAGGGCCGGGCGGCCUGGGCGAGGGCAGCCGUUGCCCGCCUCAAAGCGGGGGUCUCCCGGGGUCAGGCCUCUGGGCCGGGUCGGCCAGACUACCCAGGGAGAGGGGGCGCAGGGAAGGGGCACCUUCCCGCCGGCUGCCCUCCCCUCGCGCGCCCGCCGCUGGGCCGAGGCCGGCCUGCCCGCCAUCCCCGGGCAGGCCCUUGGCGCCCCCGCCACGGGGCCCGUCCGCCCUCGGCUCGGGGGGCUGCUUGGUGCAGCAGCCCGGCCCCGCCUCACCCACUCCUCGCCGCUCCAAAGGGGCAGGAAACGGGAGUAGCAUGUCUGUCCUGGGCUCGGCUCCCCUGGGGGGAGCUCCGGGCGCUUGACAAGGGCGUCCACAGGUACCAGGCUCGGGAGUGGUCGCCGCGACGGCCCGGGGGCGUUGGCGGCCGGCGCGCCCACCGCGGGCCCGAGGCGCCCGGGGAGGUGGCCCUGGAAGCCCCCGCUCCUCGGCCACGCUCAGGUUUCCGCAGCGCCCGUGCCCCCGGCGGCCCGGGUGGGACGUGACCCCGCCCCCGGCGAGUCGGGGCGCCCCCCACGGAGGGGUGCGCGAGCCGUCCUCGGCCCCCGGGCCGACCCCGCCGCCCCGGGCCGCGGCGGGCGCGGGAGGCCCGGCCGGGAAGAUGUCGUCUCUCGGUGCGCGCAGCUUCACGCGAGGGUCAGCGACGGGGCAGCGGCCGCCGAGCCGUGCCAGCCCUGCCCACGAACGGGCUCCCGCGGCUCGACAGCUGCCCGACGGGCUUGCAGGCUGGGGACGUCGUCGGAGCCCGGCCGGAGGAUUGUUGUGGAGUCAAAUGGACUAAUCAACAAUGUCCUAUGGAAGCUGGAAGACAAUAUAUUUAGAAAGGAUUGCUGGUUCUCUUAUUUCUUUUUAUUUAUUCUCCUAUAAGAAAGAUUUGUUUUGUUACCGAGUACCUUGUGCUUAACACUAAAUUAAGUGUUUGGACGGAAAAGGAGAUUUGAAAAAUUAGAAAGCAUGGAUUUUACUCUUGAAGACUUUGCAUCAUGGAAGAGAUGCCAGGAAGACGUGACAUACUAAGAUAGUGGUGGUCAUGACAAUGAAUUGCUGGAAAAUAAUGUAGGC